GGCUAACGCUGGCGGCGUGUCUUAGCCAUGCAAGUCGAGCGGACUUAUGGGGUAACUUAUAAGUCAGCGGCGGACGGCGGAGUAACACGUAGCUAACCUACCCUCUGGACGGGGAUAACCUACCGAAAGGUGGGCUAAUACCCGAUGUAGUCAUCCUGUAUAGGGGUGAUGAAAGGUGGGCUUCUGUUUACAAGCUCAUGCUGGAGGAGGGGGCUGCGGCCUAUCAGGUAGUUGGUAGGGUAAUAGCCUACCAAGCCGAUGACGGGUAGCCGGCCUGAGAGGGUGACCGGCCCGAGGGGCACUGAGAUACGGGUCCCACUCCUACGGGAGGCAGCAGGCUAGAAAUUUGGGCAAUGGGGGAAACCCUGACCCAGUGACGCCGCGUGCAGGAAGGAGCCCUUCGGGGUGGUAAACUGCUGUCGUGUAGGGAGAAGGGUACUAAGGUGAACAAUCUUAGUACUUGACGGUACUACAGGAGGAAGCCCAGGCUAACCUCGUG
RNAcentral lists this ribosomal RNA (499 nucleotides) under uncultured bacterium. RNAcentral's name for it is "bacterial SSU rRNA". It matches the Rfam family "Bacterial small subunit ribosomal RNA", at positions 28 to 507 of the family's 1533-position model. The record is from RNAcentral.